Molecule: transfer RNA, 76 nt
Filed under: Pseudolabrys sp.
Lineage: Bacteria; Pseudomonadati; Pseudomonadota; Alphaproteobacteria; Hyphomicrobiales; Xanthobacteraceae
Description: tRNA-Arg
Rfam family: tRNA
About the family: Transfer RNA (tRNA) molecules are approximately 80 nucleotides in length. Their secondary structure includes four short double-helical elements and three loops (D, anti-codon, and T loops).
Source: RNAcentral
GGUGUGGGAGCAGGCAGGAGUGACCAUCGGUUUCCUAAACCGAAGGUCGGAGGUUCGACUCCUCUCGGGACCACCA